This 253-nucleotide ribosomal RNA is filed under the name uncultured bacterium. RNAcentral's name for it is "partial 16S ribosomal RNA". It matches the Rfam family "Bacterial small subunit ribosomal RNA", at positions 524 to 776 of the family's 1533-position model. The record is from RNAcentral.
UACAGAGACUGCAAGCGUUAUUCGGAUUCACUGGGCGUAAAGGGCGCGUAGGCGGCCAUCUAAGUCAGACGUGAAAUCCCCCGGCUUAACCUGGGAACUGCGUCUGAUACUGGACGGCUUGAGUAUGGGAGAGGGAUGUAGAAUUCCAGGUGUAGCGGUGAAAUGCGUAGAUAUCUGGAGGAAUACCGGUGGCGAAGGCGGCAUCCUGGACCAUUACUGACGCUGAGGCGCGAAAGCUAGGGGAGCAAACGGG